This is a small nuclear RNA of Pygocentrus nattereri (red-bellied piranha), 158 nucleotides long. Its record names the gene U1. It matches the Rfam family "U1 spliceosomal RNA". From Rfam's summary of the family: U1 is a small nuclear RNA (snRNA) component of the spliceosome (involved in pre-mRNA splicing). Its 5' end forms complementary base pairs with the 5' splice junction, thus defining the 5' donor site of an intron. Lineage: Eukaryota; Metazoa; Chordata; Actinopteri; Characiformes; Serrasalmidae. The record is from Ensembl.
AUACUGACCUGGCAGGGACGAUACCAUGAAGGUCGUUCAGCCAGGGCGAGGCUCUGCCAUUGCACUUGGGUGGUGCUGACCCUUGGGAAUUCCCCAAAUGCGGGAAUCUCGACUGCAUAAUUUCUGGUAGUGGGGGACUGCGUUCGCACUCUCCCCUG